This is a long non-coding RNA of Paramacrobiotus metropolitanus, 814 nucleotides long. RefSeq lists it as uncharacterized. NCBI's taxonomy places the organism in Eukaryota, Metazoa, Tardigrada, Eutardigrada, Parachela, Macrobiotidae. The transcript has 5 exons. The record is from RefSeq and is a predicted model, not a curated record.
UUGGCACAUUAGCGCAACUGGCUCGUCAGCGAUGGUGCUGCAUACCAUGCGCGUCUCUUAUUGAUUGAAAACACUUAUAGUAAUGCUGCGCACUUAUAAUAUACAAAUUAUUUGUCAACUUAUCGAGUAGUUUAAUUGCUUAACUGGAUUGUGCACGGCUUAUAUAUAAUUGUGAAACUUGACAUGCGCCCAAUGGUUGGAGUACUGUACGGAUGGAUGGAUGGUACUGUACUAUAUGGAUACUACUGUACACUGUACAGUUAUAUUGGUUUACUUUCACUGCUUGAUUCAACAAGUUGUUUACAUUCUUUUACAAUAUGGAGGAGCAUUUUAACGCAUCUGGCUCGUCAAAGCCUUUCAACGCAUAUCUACUGCGUGCAUGCUUAUGCGUGCGUGCAGAUCAACUGGAAAAAGUCCGCCAGGGUCGCUGCAAAAUUUUUUCCACUGGAGCCAAAGCCACAUUUCUGUUAACGAUUCUCCGCUAAUUGCAGAAUUUAUGAAUUUCUUGUACACGAAUUUCGGGGCUGCUAUAAACAACGAGGGUUUGAGUGGAAAAAGUUGGCCUGAACUUCUCAAAGAAUUUUCCACCUUGUCAACGAAUGGAAAAUCAUCGCCGUACAACCUUGAAGCCGGACUCGCAUGGCCGGAAAUAUUUAAGUUUCCGGUAAUAGUGAUCCAAUAACGCGAGAGCAUCACUGAUGGACUUUGCACCAUUAACUGUGAUCUUGCCGUUGCGGUACACUUGGCAGUGCGAUUUGUAAGGACGAAUGGAACGGAGAAGAAGCCCGGAAAAUUUAUGUGGUGCAUAAUGAGA